AGGAAUUAGGGUUUCUUGCUCCUCUUCCAUAGCCCUAAACUCUAGACGCCCCCCGACAGCCUCCUUGCCCAUUUUAGUAGCCACCUGAGGGGGAUCCGCCGCGACCGCUGAUGAAUCUCUCGUUAUGGCCACCGUAUUUACCACCGCUUCCAUUCCCGUUUCCUCUGCCAUUACCUUUCCCUUUGUUCUUCCCGCGACCUCGAUCACCAUUCCUCCCUCGACCAUCUGCAUAAUUUGCUUCGGUGGGAGAUCGGUCCAAGAAUGCCAAAGAGAGGAACCAAGACCGACUGAUCGUGUAUGGCAGCAUAGGAGCGGCGUUCAUCAUACCCAAUCAGAAGGGAGGUCACGCCAUUGUUGUUCCAAGAGGUCUUCUUGUGCUGUUGUCUGGCUGAGGAAGGCAGUUUCCAGGGAGCGCCAAACUUCGUGAGAUGUCUUGGUAGAGAGGAUAGUGACGCCAAUUUCUUCGGUUAUUGCAAGCAUGAUACAGGUUAGUGCAAACUUGUCUCUAGAUACCCAUUGUAGAUGCUCUGGAUUUUGUGUGUCACUGCCAUUUGGUUCUUUGACAGUUUUGCUGGGCUCUAGUACUCGUCCUUCAGCGUAGGACAAAAGGCCAUAGGUUUCGAGUAAGGGACUCAUAAUGCCCUUCCAGAAUAUAUAGUUCCAACCAUUCAAUUUGACUUGAACAAAGGGAAUAGAGGAGGGAGGUUGAGAAUUGAAGUAGAGUCAACCAUAAUUGGUGUAAAGGUCAGGAGAAAAGGGAAGGAGAAAGUCGGGAAGAUGGAGAAGAGAGAUAGGUUAACUUGAUCUAGAUUGAUUGUAUAGAUCACUCGAUCGUUGGCUCUAAUACCAUCAAAGAUUUGUGAAUUUAGCUGAAACCUCAACUUGAUGUUUGAGGUGAAUUGUAUUGCAUUAUAUAGAACUGUACAUGAUGUGUAUAUGGAAAGAAAUAAAUACAUGAUUAUAAUACAACACCUCUACAAGGAAAGCUAGGAUUCGAUAUUACUCAUUAUUUCCUCUAUUAGAUGCUAGGGCUAACAUUGUCUUGUCUGGACCUUCAAACAGUGGGCUUUGGUCUCCAUUUCUAUGCACGCAAUUAAAUCAAGUUUUUUUCAUA
Molecule: non-coding RNA, 1114 nt
Organism: Punica granatum (pomegranate)
Lineage: Eukaryota; Viridiplantae; Streptophyta; Magnoliopsida; Myrtales; Lythraceae
Source: RefSeq, a predicted model, not a curated record